RNAcentral lists this unclassified non-coding RNA (247 nucleotides) under Ascomycota sp. RNAcentral's name for it is "partial contains small subunit ribosomal RNA, internal transcribed spacer 1, and 5.8S ribosomal RNA". The stretch from base 1 to 47 matches the Rfam family "Eukaryotic small subunit ribosomal RNA", at positions 1785 to 1831 of the family's 1831-position model. Lineage: Eukaryota; Fungi; Ascomycota. The record is from RNAcentral.
AAAGUCGUAACAAGGUUUCCGUAGGUGAACCUGCGGAAGGAUCAUUAUCGAGUGAGGGUCCUCCGGGCCCCAUCUCCAACCCUUGUCUAUUCUACCAUGUUGCUUUGGCGGGCCCGUCUGGAACCAGACCGCCGGGGACCCAUGUCCCUGGCCCGCGCCCGUCGGUAGCCCCCAUAACUUCUUCUGAUAGUGAUGUCUAAGUACGCGAGAAUAACCAAAACUUUCAACAACGGAUCUCUUGGUUCCG